RNAcentral lists this ribosomal RNA (253 nucleotides) under uncultured bacterium. RNAcentral describes it as "partial 16S ribosomal RNA". It matches the Rfam family "Bacterial small subunit ribosomal RNA", at positions 524 to 776 of the family's 1533-position model. The record is from RNAcentral.
UACGAAGGGGGCUAGCGUUGUUCGGAAUCACUGGGCGUAAAGGGCGCGUAGGCGGCUUUAUAAGUCGGAUGUGAAAUCCCUGGGCUCAACCUAGGAACUGCAUUCGAAACUGGUCACCUAGAGUGAUGGAGAGGAAAGCGGAAUUCCCGGUGUAGAGGUGAAAUUCGUAGAUAUCGGGAGGAACACCAGUGGCGAAGGCGGCUUUCUGGACAUUUACUGACGCUGAGACGCGAAAGCGUGGGGAGCAAACAGG